Botryobasidium botryosum FD-172 SS1 is the source of this 80-nucleotide transfer RNA. It matches the Rfam family "tRNA". From Rfam's summary of the family: Transfer RNA (tRNA) molecules are approximately 80 nucleotides in length. The record is from Rfam. NCBI's taxonomy places the organism in Eukaryota, Fungi, Basidiomycota, Agaricomycetes, Cantharellales, Botryobasidiaceae.
GCCCUGAUAGCUCAGUUGGUAGAGCGUUGCACUAGUACUUAUAUAUGCAAAGGUCGCUAGUUCAAAUCUGGCUUGGGGCA